Long non-coding RNA from Carya illinoinensis, 1138 nucleotides. RefSeq lists it as uncharacterized. The record is from RefSeq and is a predicted model, not a curated record. NCBI's taxonomy places the organism in Eukaryota, Viridiplantae, Streptophyta, Magnoliopsida, Fagales, Juglandaceae. The transcript is spliced from 3 exons.
AGCCCCCCAGAAUUGAAAGGAGGAAGACUACCUCGUCGUGGGUGCAGAGAGCUGUUGCCGUUGGGUGGGUUGAUUUCGGGUUGGUCCGGUCUGCGUUGGAGUGGGUCAAAGGCCGAUCAUUGUUGUUGGUUUCAGUUGAGAUUGGGCACCAUGGGUCGUCAUUUUCGUGGGUUUUUCGUGUGGGUCUUCUUCGUCAGCAGCUUCAUUAGGUGUAAGAUCCAGUUUUUUCUUUUCUCAGUCUACAUUUCUUCAACCGUUUCUUCCUGUAUUGGAGUGUCCUUGCGUGAUUGCCACGUUUAAUGGCUUUUCAUAUUCGGCUUGAAAUUGCCCCUUGGAAGUUCAAAACCGCUCUGAGAAAAAAGAGGUCGAGGUAAAGCACAUUAUUUUCCUUUGCAACUUGAUCUUUUCUGUCAUUCUUGCUCUUUCAUUUUUCUCCAUCACACGCCUACAUUUUUUGUUUCAGGUAUUGAUGAACCCUUUAGGUGACUGGUUUUUUUUUUGGGAUUAUUGUUAUACUACAUUAUGGAUUUGUUAGCUCUGUCUUGCUCGAAACAGUUUAAAUUGCUUAAAAUAGAUAAGGUUUUGGUCUCUGAAUUGGGCAAUAUGUAAAAUACAAUGCUUUCUUUCCCUGUUCUAUUGUCUUUGUUUUCUCUUUUCGGUACCCUCACAGGUUUUGUUGCCAUCGUUUUUUGCACAUUUCCUUCAAAAUUAAAAGGAAUUUUGUUUCUUGAUUAGAGGAAGGUGUUAGGGACCCUUCUCUAUAUACCCUGCUUGUCUUCACAAGCUUGUAGGUCACAAAUUAAUUGACUACAAAUACUGAGGUUAUAUUGGGGUAAGGGUAAGCUUCUUUUUAUCAUUUUGGUCAUUGAUUUAUGCUUGCAAAAAAAUAAAAAGAUCAAUUAAGAUGAUGGAUACAUUGUUAUUGACUAAUAUUAUGUGCUUUAAGAACAGAAGGAUCUAAUGCCUCAUAUUUUCAACCUCAAAAUCUACUUGUUUUAUUGUCAACUCUUACUUCUCCCAUUAAAGCAUUGAAGCUUUUAAUAGUAGUGGAACCCUCCAAUCGCAUCCCAUGAUUGGUAGUCAAGACAGUAUAAAUUUUGACUGGAUGGCGCACAACCGGAGCUCUUUUGAUGUGAAC